This 555-nucleotide non-coding RNA is filed under the name Rhodococcoides kyotonense. RNAcentral's name for it is "Rhodococcus kyotonensis Bacterial large subunit ribosomal RNA". It matches the Rfam family "Bacterial large subunit ribosomal RNA", at positions 437 to 967 of the family's 2925-position model. Lineage: Bacteria; Bacillati; Actinomycetota; Actinomycetes; Mycobacteriales; Nocardiaceae. The record is from Rfam by way of RNAcentral.
UGUGAAUCUGUCGGGACCACCCGAUAAGCCUGAAUACUCCCUGGUGACCGAUAGCGGACUAGUACCGUGAGGGAAAGGUGAAAAGUACCCCGGGAGGGGAGUGAAAUAGUACCUGAAACCGUGCGCUUACAAUCCGUCAGAGCCUGCGAGUCACUUGUGACUGUGGGUGAUGGCGUGCCUUUUGAAGAAUGAGCCUGCGAGUUAGUGGCAUGUCGCGAGGUUAACCCGUGUGGGGUAGCCGUAGCGAAAGCGAGUCCGAAUAGGGCGUAUCCACUUGUGUGGUGUAGUGGCGUGUUCUAGACCCGAAGCGGAGUGAUCUACCCAUGGCCAGGUUGAAGCGACGGUAAGACGUCGUGGAGGACCGAACCCACUUAGGUUGAAAACUGAGGGGAUGAGUUGUGGGUAGGGGUGAAAGGCCAAUCAAACUCCGUGAUAGCUGGUUCUCCCCGAAAUGCAUYUAGGUGCAGCGUCACGUGUUUCUCGUCGGAGGUAGAGCUACUGGAUGGUCUAGGGGGCUUACCGGCUUACCGAAAUCAGCCAAACUCCGAAUGCCGA